CAGUCGCCGCGGUAAUACGAAGGGUGCAAGCGUUAAUCGGAAUUACUGGGCGUAAAGCGUGCGUAGGCGGUUUGUUAAGUCUGUUGUGAAAUCCCCGGGCUCAACCUGGGAAUGGCAAUGGAUACUGGCAAGCUAGAGUGUGUCAGAGGAUGGUGGAAUUCCCGGUGUAGCGGUGAAAUGCGUAGAGAUCGGGAGGAACAUCUGUGGCGAAGGCGACUAUCUGGGCCAACACUGACACUGAGACACGAAAGCGUGGGGAGCAAACAGGAUUAGAUACCCCCGUAGUCCCUGUCUCUUAUAC
RNAcentral lists this ribosomal RNA (301 nucleotides) under uncultured bacterium. RNAcentral's name for it is "partial 16S ribosomal RNA". It matches the Rfam family "Bacterial small subunit ribosomal RNA", at positions 509 to 807 of the family's 1533-position model. The record is from RNAcentral.